Carica papaya (papaya) is the source of this 3500-nucleotide non-coding RNA. Lineage: Eukaryota; Viridiplantae; Streptophyta; Magnoliopsida; Brassicales; Caricaceae. The record is from RefSeq and is a predicted model, not a curated record.
UAAGUUACAUGGCUCUUUCUGCAAUUUUACAAGCCACACAAAAGAAACUUGUUUCAAGCUGAAUGGUGUGCCAGAUAGGUGUAAGGAACUACAAGAAAAAAAGAAGAUGACAAGAGGAAGAAAUGUGGCUAAUAUGGCAGAAACAGCGGCUGAGGCAAAUGAAAAUGAGGAUUCAUUCAUGAACACCGAAUUGGGUGGAAAGAUACAAAGCAUGAUUCAAAUAGGUAUGAAAAACUCAUGAAAGGGAAAGGAUCUGCAGAAGGUAUUGUGGUGAACAUGACUCAUUUUACUGAUUUUGCAGGUAUAACUUUAUCUCAAUUUGUGUUUGGUGCAUUAAGUUUAUUGGAGGGAAGUAGUUGGAUUGUUGAUACAGGACCUUCAGACAAUGGGAAAGGUGGUCAGCAGAUUAUACAUCUUAGAUUCAACCUUCUUCAAACCAGGCCUUUUGUCACAUUACACAAAUUUUAUCAAGUACCAACACACACCAACAAAGUCUUUACCCUUUGAUUCACAUUGUAAUAACUUUAUUGUUGUUUAUUCCGGUGAUGAAAUUUCUACUCAGAUUCUUGUUCUUUGGCAUCAACAACUUGGACAUGUAUCUCCUGCUGUUAUGACUCGUUUACCUUUCUUGUCUCACAAAAAUGAUUUGCAUUUACCUAUUUGUAAUGUGUCAUUUAGCCAAACAGCAACGAAUAAGUUUUCAGAAAAGUGUUUAACAUGCUUUCAAAAUUUUUGAAUUAUUGCACAUUGAUGUUUGGGGAUCAUAUGUUCAGUAAUCUAUGUCAAAUGCUCAUUAUUUUCUGACCUUAGUUGAUGAUUUUAGCAGAGCUACUUGGACCUUCUUAUUUACCUAUAAAACACAGGUUGCUUCCAUUCUUUCACAUUUCUUUAAAAUGGUAAGUAACCAAUUCAAUGCUACCAUUAAAAUUGUGUGUUCAGAUAAUGGAACCGAGUUUACUAAUGAAACUUGAAAAGAUUUAUUUUCUUCUCUUGGCAUUAUUCACCAACGUUCCAUUCCUUACUCACCUCAAUAAAAUGGUAAAGUUGAAAGAAAGCACAAAUAGAUUUUACAAAUUGCCAGAGCUUUUCUUUUUCAGUCAGGGUUUACCACUACCUUUUGGGGUGAGUCCAUUUUGAUGGCCAACCAUAUCCUAAACAGAUUGCCCACUUCUGUUCUCAAUUGGUAAACACCUUUUGAAGCCCUUUAUAGUAAACCACCAGACUACGGUUCACUUAAAAUCUGUGGAUGUCUUGUUACAUUUCAAACACCUUACCUCAAAAAUCCAAAGUUGAUCUUAGAGCUCACAUAUGUAUAUUCUUAGGUUAUAAGGUCAGAAAGGGUAUAAGGUUCAUGACCUUAGUUCAUAUAAAAUUUUGAUGUGUAGAGACAUUACUUUUUAUGAGUACAUUUUUCCUUUUAAACAUCAAUGUCAAGAUUCUACAGCCAUCCUUCUUCCAAUAUCUGAUGAUUUUCUCAUUAAUGGAUCUGAUACAAACCAUUUGAUUGAUACUUCUGUUUCUACUUCACCUCUUUUGUCUCCUAAUACUUUUGAUAUUUCAUUUCAUCACCUACCACAGUUGAUUCCUCACCAGUUCCAGCACUUAUUUACAGUCUGCUGAGUUUUUUCCACUAUUACGACGUAGCACCAGAGUUACUAAGCCUCCUGCCUGGUUAAAGGAUUUUGCAUCUACAGUUGUACAGCCAGUUUCUCAUUGCCAACACUCAUCAGUCACCAAGGUACAAAGCGAGGUUGGUAGCAAAAGACUGUAAUCAAAUAGAAGGAAUUGAUUAUACAGAUUUCUUUUCACCUGCUGCGAAGCUAGUUACUGAAAGAAUUUUCUUGGUGAUGGCCACUGCUAAGAGCUGGGUUGUUCAUUAAAUUGAUAUCAACAAUGCCUUUCUAUAUGGCACGUUGAAUGAGGAGGUAUAUACGAUACCACUAGAAGGGUAUAAGAAAGCAACAGCUGGUCAGGUUUGCAAGCUCAGAAAAUCACUGUAUGGACUCAAACAAGCCUCACUCUGAUGCACACGUGCUUAUUUUAGGAGAAUGACUGUACAAUUGUCGCCAUAGGCUAAUUGUCAAUGUCACUGAAUUUGUCGAUGCUCUUGUAGAGUGUGACUUCAUACUUGUCUCUGGGUGGUGAGAUAUUUUGGGCUGGUCAGCACCGAAAGUCCAGAAUUGGUUACUGUGCUCAAUAUGAAACGGAUAAGAUGGUUGCAACAGCACAAGUUGCUAGCACAGGAAUGGUUGCUCUUAGCUAUGGUCAGAAGGUAUGUGAGAAGGUUUCUCUAGCAUCUGAUUUCAUGUACAAAGUUAUAUGUCAAGAGAUGUCACAGCUAGUGUCGGUUAUGAUUACAUCCUAAGGCAGGUAGUGGACUUGUUGGUACUCCGCUUUUGUCUAUAUGGUCCCUUGGUGCGGCGCAAGGUAGUGGACUUGUUGGUACUCCGCUUUUGUCUAUAUGGUCCCUUGGUGCUUUCGGAAGUAUAACAUUUGUUACUCAUAGUCUGUUGGUCUUGUCUAAAUUACUGAAGAUAAUUGGUGAGAGUCAUCUUUUGAAUUUAAAAGUUUCAGUUAUGAUAUAUAUAUAUAUAUAUUUAUACAUAUGUUCAUUAACUUAGAUUUCUUCAUUUGAAGUGUCAAGUUGUUUUAAAGAAUGAGAAGAAUAUAACUAAUAUUUUCUACAUUGACUCUUCAUGGUUGUUUCAAUGUCGUCUUAGGGGAAAGAUCAAUUAAAUAUAUAUCGUUGUCAAAUUUAAACGACUAAACACUAUAUUAGACUGUAUUAUUAAAAAUAAUUGUUAUAUUGUCCAUUUCUUGGAGGGAUAAGAGUAUUGUUUUACAAAUAUUUACAUGGUAGGUUGUAAAUAUAUAAGUGUAUAACAAUGACAGAAUAAUUAAUGGGGUUGUAAGGCGAAAGAGCUACAGCUAUUAAAGGGUGUUUCGGUCGGCAGAUGAAAUAGUUCUAUUAAUGUCUCUCAUUUGUUCUUUGCCAACAAUACUCUGAUUUUUUGCCAACCUGAUAUCAGAAAUCUUUUGCGUUUGAAAUGACAUUACUCUGCUUCCAAGUUGUAUCGAGGUUAAAGAUUAAUUUGGCAAAAUUUGAGCCAGCCAAGAUCGUUGAUGAUGCAGACAUCAACGUGUUUGCAGAGGUACUGGGCUGUAAAGCAGUAAAUCUUCCUUUGAAAUAUUUUGGGUGCAAAAUAUAAAGAAAAAAUCACUUGGGUUAUUGAACUAUUUGAGAAAAGACUUGCAGAGUUGGAAGCUUAAUUUCUUGUCAAAAAAUGGAAGACUUACUUUAAUCAAAAGUACAUUACUCAAUCUUCUUAUCUACUAUUUUUCCACUCUUACAAUUCUAAUUAACAUUGCAAAAAAAGCUGGAAACAAUUCAAUGUAGAUUACUUUCGGGUAAUGAGUUAGACAAUUAGAAGUAUCAUUGGGUGAAAUGGAAGGAAAUUAAUGUUGAUGCGUCUUAAAUUUUGGUGAUAUUUAUUUGUAUU